CACGGGGGGUGCAAGCGUUGUUCGGAAUCAUUGGGCGUAAAGAGCGUGUAGGCGGCCAGGCAAGUCAGAUGUGAAAGCCCUGGGCUUAACCCAGGAAGUGCAUUUGAAACUGCUUGGCUAGAGUAAGGGAGAGGAAAGUGGAAUUCCUGGUGUAGAGGUGAAAUUCGUAGAUAUCAGGAGGAACACCGGUGGCGAAGGCGACUUUCUGGCCCUAUACUGACGCUCAGGCGCGAAAGCGUGGGGAGCAAACAGGAUUAGAUACC
RNAcentral lists this ribosomal RNA (263 nucleotides) under uncultured bacterium. RNAcentral describes it as "partial 16S ribosomal RNA". It matches the Rfam family "Bacterial small subunit ribosomal RNA", at positions 524 to 786 of the family's 1533-position model. The record is from RNAcentral.